UGGAGAGUUUGAUCCUGGCUCAGAUUGAACGCUGGCGGCAGGCCUAACACAUGCAAGUCGAGCGGCAGCGACAACAUUGACCCUUCGGGGGAUUUGUUGGGCGGCGAGCGGCGGACGGGUGAGUAAUGCCUGGGAACAUGCCUUAGUGUGGGGGAUAACCAUUGGAAACGAUGGCUAAUACCGCAUAAUCUCUACGGAGCAAAGAGGGGGACCUUCGGGCCUCUCGCGCUAAGAUUGGCCCAGGUGGGAUUAGCURGUAGGUGGGGUAACGGCUCACCUAGGCGACGAUCCCUAGCUGGUCUGAGAGGAUGAUCAGCCACACUGGAACUGAGACACGGUCCAGACUCCUACGGGAGGCAGCAGUGGGGAAUAUUGCACAAUGGGGGAAACCCUGAUGCAGCCAUGCCGCGUGUGUGAAGAAGGCCUUCGGGUUGUAAAGCACUUUCAGCAGUGAGGAAGGCGGUAYCGUUAAUAGCGGUAUCGUUUGACGUUAGCUGCAGAAGAAGCACCGGCUAACUCCGUGCCAGCAGCCGCGGUAAU
Molecule: ribosomal RNA, 540 nt
Filed under: Photobacterium sp. TKY1
Lineage: Bacteria; Pseudomonadati; Pseudomonadota; Gammaproteobacteria; Vibrionales; Vibrionaceae
Description: bacterial SSU rRNA
Rfam family: Bacterial small subunit ribosomal RNA
Source: RNAcentral